Molecule: ribosomal RNA, 483 nt
Filed under: uncultured bacterium
Lineage: Bacteria
Description: bacterial SSU rRNA
Rfam family: Bacterial small subunit ribosomal RNA
Source: RNAcentral
UUGAACGCUGGCGGCAUGCUUUACACAUGCAAGUCGAACGGCAGCACGGGUGCUUGCACCUGGUGGCGAGUGGCGGACGGUGAGUAAUGCAUCGGAACGUGUCCUGAAGUGGGGAUAACGCAUCGAAAGAUGUGCUAAUACCGCAUAUUCUCUGAGGAGAAAAGUAGGGGAUCGAAAGACCUUAUGCUUUUGGAGCGGCCGAUGUCUGAUUAGCUAGUUGGUAAGGUAAUGGCUUACCAAGGCAACGAUCAGUAGUUGGUCUGAGAGGACGGCCAGCCACACUGGGACUGAGACACGGCCCAGACUCCUACGGGAGGCAGCAGUGGGGAAUUUUGGACAAUGGGCGCAAGCCUGAUCCAGCAAUGCCGCGUGAGUGAAGAAGGCCUUCGGGUCGUAAAGCUCUUUCAGUUGAGAAGAAAAAGUCGUGACUAAUAAUCAUGAUUCAUGACGGUAUCAACAGAAGAAGCACCGGCUAACUACGUG